Grammomys surdaster is the source of this 139-nucleotide non-coding RNA. RefSeq annotates it as small Cajal body-specific RNA 21. The transcript has a single exon. The record is from RefSeq and is a predicted model, not a curated record. Lineage: Eukaryota; Metazoa; Chordata; Mammalia; Rodentia; Muridae.
AGGCUCUAUUUCCUGGGAGGUGGGCUCAGCCUACCACACUUCCCCUCAGCUGAACCCAGACUAAAGGGACCAGGCCUCCCCCUCUAUGGGAGAGGUAUUUGAAGAAGGAGCCUCACUCAGGCUGGCCUGGCUCACAUUA